RNAcentral lists this ribosomal RNA (407 nucleotides) under uncultured bacterium. Its description in RNAcentral is "partial 16S ribosomal RNA". It matches the Rfam family "Bacterial small subunit ribosomal RNA", at positions 30 to 526 of the family's 1533-position model. The record is from RNAcentral.
AUUGAACGCUGGCGGCAGGCCUAACACAUGCAAGUCGGGCGGAGCGGCGGACGGGUGCGUAAUGUAUGGGGAUCUGCCAGAUGGGGGAGGAUAACUACUGUAAACGGUAGCUAAUACCGCAUACUAUCAGAUGAGCCUAGGUCGGAUUAGCUAGUUGGUGGGGUAAAGGCCUACCAAGGCGACGAUCCGUAACUGUUCUGAGAGGAUGAUCAGUCACACUGUAACUGAGACACGGUCCAGACUCCGACGGGAGGCAGCAGUGGGGAAUAUUGGACAAUGGGCGAAAGCCUGAUCCAGCCAUGCCGCGUGUUUGAAGAAGGCCUUCGGAUUGUAAAGCACUUUAAGUUGGGAGGCGUUACCAACAGAAUAAGCACCGGCUAACUUCGUGCCAGCAGCCGCGGUAAUUC